RNAcentral lists this ribosomal RNA (512 nucleotides) under uncultured Kofleriaceae bacterium. RNAcentral describes it as "bacterial SSU rRNA". It matches the Rfam family "Bacterial small subunit ribosomal RNA", at positions 35 to 523 of the family's 1533-position model. Lineage: Bacteria; Pseudomonadati; Myxococcota; Haliangiales; Kofleriaceae. The record is from RNAcentral.
GUUAGCGGCAAGCCUAACACAUGCAAGUCGAACGAGAACAGGGCUUCGGCCCCUAGUAAAGUGGCGGACGGGUGCGUAACACGUGGAUAAUCUGCCUAUCGGCGGGGGACAACAGUCCGAAAGGAUUGCUAAUACCCCAUACGUCGGCGAGCUCUUCGGAGCACGUCGGGAAAGAUGGCCUCUAUUUAUAAGCUAUCACCGAAUGAUGAGUCCGCGUCCCAUCAGCUAGUUGGCGGGGUAAUGGCCCACCAAGGCGAAGACGGGUAGCUGGUCUGAGAGGAUGAUCAGCCACACUGGAACUGAGACACGGUCCAGACUCCUACGGGAGGCAGCAGUGGGGAAUAUUGGGCAAUGGGCGAAAGCCUGACCCAGCUAUGCCGCGUGAGUGAUGAAGGCCUUCGGGUCGUAAAGCUCUGUGGGGAGAGAAGAAUCGCCUUGUGGCUAACAUCCACGAGGUCUGACGGUAUCUCCUUAGCAAGCACCGGCUAACUACGUGCCAGCAGCCGCGGUAA